AUGCUGUUCAUACCUCCACCACUAGAGGGAGGUGUUGGCUCUGAAUGUUCACUGAAACGCUAUAUAAGGAUGAGAGAGAGAAGGGAAGCUGGAGAGUACGGAUCAGUGGAAGUUUUCCUCCUGAGCUGAGCAUUGUGGAAACCGUCUGCAGAUGUGGAUCACCAUCAAAGUGUGCUUCUCCCAUUGAGUGAGGCAUCCACACCCUUCAGAAGUCAGGAAGGCUGUGUUUGCUCCAGGGAUUACAUUACCACACCAGAGGCCUGCAAAGACAGACCCACGGACAGACCCUGCUGCAUCACGGCCCAAGGAGUCACAGGAGAGGAGGUCAGCCAGGGAGAGGCCCACAGCUGCGGCUGCGAGGUCCCAGCAUGUUUAUUUGGGCAAGCCCAACCAAAAUAAGCUCCAGCCAGGCAUUGCUCCUGAGGACUGGGGCCACCACCGCUGCGGCGCUUUUCAUCCUAACAAUGGGGAAAGUGCUCGGGCCGAGGAGGGAGCCGCACAGCGCAGUUUACCGUAGAACAGCUGCCUCAUCUGUGGGGGAGGAAGUGCCCUGCAGAUGUGGCCAGGAUAGACGGUUCAUGUUCCCACACCUACUCCUGUUGUACAGUUGUUCACCCAUGCUCAGCGGUCAGUGAAUGAGUUCCUUUGUUUUACAUGAGAGAGAUUGCCUGCCGAGUGGAAACGCCACAGGAUGGAGAGCCAGAAUGAGUACAGUGUUAGAUAUUUGCUUGAAAUAUGUUACAUAGGUUGUAUAACGUGAAGAACUGUGUACUGUGCCAAAAUAAUUCAGAUAUGAUCUUCAUGUGAUUUUGAAGGCAGCUACAUGUGUUAUGUGUCAUGGCCCUCUUGGUGUAUGGUAUUCUUAAGGUUGCAGUGUUGUGAAUGCUUGUGUGGACUUCAAUGGGAAUGGCUGAUUCACUGAUAAUGAAUAAUGUAAAAUAAACCAUCAACA
Molecule: long non-coding RNA, 952 nt
Organism: Lates calcarifer (barramundi perch)
Lineage: Eukaryota; Metazoa; Chordata; Actinopteri; Centropomidae
Exons: 3
Source: RefSeq, a predicted model, not a curated record